Molecule: ribosomal RNA, 247 nt
Filed under: uncultured bacterium
Lineage: Bacteria
Description: partial 16S ribosomal RNA
Rfam family: Bacterial small subunit ribosomal RNA
Source: RNAcentral
UGAUGGCGACCGGCGCACGGGUGAGUAACACGUAUCCAACCUGCCGAUAACUCGGGGAUAGCCUUUCGAAAGAAAGAUUAAUACCCGAUGGCAUAAUAGAACCGCAUGGUUUGAUUAUUAAAGAAUUUCGGUUAUCGAUGGGGAUGCGUUCCAUUAGGCAGUUGGUGGGGUAACGGCCCACCAAACCUUCGAUGGAUAGGGGUUCUGAGAGGAAGGUCCCCCACAUUGGAACUGAGACACGGUCCAA